UACGUAGGGACCGAGCGUUGUCCGGAUUCAUUGGGCGUAAAGAGCUCGUAGGCGGCCUAUUGCGUCUGCUGUGAAAGCCCGGGGCUUAACCCCGGGUCUGCAGCCGAUACGGGCAGGCUAGAGUUCGGUAGGGGAGACUGGAAUUCCUGGUGUAGCGGUGGAAUGCGCAGAUAUCAGGAGGAACACCGGUGGCGAAGGCGGGGUCCUGGGCCAGUACUGACGCUGAGGAGCGAAAGCGUGGGGAGCAAACAGG
This 253-nucleotide ribosomal RNA is filed under the name uncultured bacterium. RNAcentral describes it as "partial 16S ribosomal RNA". It matches the Rfam family "Bacterial small subunit ribosomal RNA", at positions 524 to 776 of the family's 1533-position model. The record is from RNAcentral.